UAUAGAGGCAAAAUCCAUUUUAAUUAUAAGCUAAGUUUAUGUAAAUAUAAUUUCCCACUCUCUGUAAAUGUAGUAAAUAUUAUAGAAGAAAAUUGUUCCAUAUAAUUAUAUAUAAAGGUAUAAAAUAUAACAUUAUUAUCAAUUUAUAUUGUUUAUUAGAAUGUGUGUGUCCCACCCCUGCAGUACUUCAGCAUUCUGAGGUAACAAGACAGUUGGCUUACUGCAUCUUAGAAAGGCUUAUUGAUUUUGUUAUUGCUACAACUAUCAUGGAAGCAGAGGCAGCAAUUUCUCAAGCCUAGUUCCAAAAGGAUUAAACCUGACAAAGAUUUAUAAACAACCUGUUCAGUGGCUGCUGAUUAACUCCCCAAGAUUGAUGUACUGAAGAAGGAUGACCUCCCCUUGACACCAAUGCUACUAGUCAAUAACGACCACUGUGACUCAGAACAAAUUCUCUGGGGGCAGGCAGUGAAGCUUCUUCUCUUGUUGACCUUACCAGACCACAAGGCUGAAAAUAUUCUGUGGCCUGAUGCCCUUAAAUUGAUCAUAUUAAUACAAUCAAGCAGAAAAGAAAUUAAUUUUCCCUCUCUCUCUCUGUCUAUAUAUAUACUUACUACUAUAUAUAUGUGUGUAUAUAUAUGCUAUAUAUGUGUGUGUAUAUAUAUAGCAGUACAUAUAGAUAUAAUUAGUAUAUAUAGAAGUAGUAAAUAUAUAAAAAUAUAUUUGUAUUCCUCUUCAGCUCCAUACUUGAGAUUAAAAAGUAUCCUUUAAGAGUUCAUACAUCUAGACCUCUCUUCUGAAAAGAAUAAUAAUCUCCUGUUUAUCUAUGCACUUAUUUGCUAAAUAAAGAAGAAUAUUGAGCACCCAAAA
RNAcentral lists this long non-coding RNA (867 nucleotides) under Homo sapiens (human). RNAcentral describes it as "novel transcript". Lineage: Eukaryota; Metazoa; Chordata; Mammalia; Primates; Hominidae. The record is from RNAcentral.